UUGGGGCGCGAGACAACUCUCUCUAAGGAACUCGGCCAAAUUACCUCGUAACUUCGGAAGAAGAGGUACCCCUUCACGGGGGUUGCAAUAGAUUGACCCUGGCGACUGUUUACCAAAAACACAGGUCUCCGCUAAUUCGUAAGAAAAAGUAUGGGGGCUGACGCCUGCCCAGUGCCGGAAGGUUAAAGAAGUUGGUUAGUCCUUGGACAAAGCUAGCGACUGAAGCCCCGGUGAACGGCGGCCGUAACUAUAACGGUCCUAAGGUAGCGAAAUUCCUCGUCGGGUAAGUUCCGACCCGCACGAAAGGCGUAACGAUCAGGGUACUGUCUCGGAGAGAGGCUCGGCGAAAUAGACAUGUCUGUGAAGAUGCGGACUACCUGCACCUGGACAGAAAGACCCUAUGAAGCUUUACUGUAUCUUGGAAUUGGGUUUGGUCUUUGCAUGCGCAGGAUAGGUGGGAGGCUUUGAAGAUGAUCUUGCGGGGUCGUUGGAGCCACUGGUGAGAUACCACCCUUGCAAUGAUAAAAUCCUAACUUUGAACCGUUAUCCGGUCAAAGAACAGUUUCAGGUGGGCAGUUUGACUGGGGCGGUCGCCUCCUAAAAGGUAACGGAGGCGUGCAAAGGUUCCCUCAGGCUGGUUGGACAUCAGUCGUAGAGUGUAAAGGCAUAAGGGAGCUUGACUGCGAGACCAACAAGUCGAGCAGAGACGAAAGUCGGCCUUAGUGAUCCGGCGCUUCCGAGUGGAAGGGGCGUCGCUCAACGGAUAAAAGUUACUCUAAGGAUAACAGGCUGAUCUCCCCCAAGAGUUCACAUCGACGGGGAGGUUUGGCACCUCGAUGUCGGCUCAUCGCAUCCUGGGGCGGUAGUACGUCCCAAGGGUUGGGCUGUCCGCCCAUGAAAGCGGUACGCGAGCUGGGUUCAGAACGUCGUGAGACAGUUCGGUCCAUAUCCGGUGCAGGCGUUAGAGUAUUGCGAAGACUCCUCCUUAGUACGAGAGGACCGGGGGGAAUGCACCGCUGGUGUACCAGUUAUCGUGCCAACGGUAAACGCUGGGUAGCCAAGUGCAGUUUGGAUAACUGCUGAAAGCAUCUAAGUAGGAAGCCAGCUUCAAGAUGAGUACUCUCACCGCUUCAAGCGGGUAAGAUCACGGCAAGAACAGCCGUUUGAUAGGCAUCAAGUGUAAGUGCAGUAAUGUAUUCAGCUGAGAUAUACUAAUAGAUCGAGGGCUUAUU
RNAcentral lists this ribosomal RNA (1232 nucleotides) under metagenome. Its description in RNAcentral is "bacterial LSU rRNA". It matches the Rfam family "Bacterial large subunit ribosomal RNA", at positions 1683 to 2925 of the family's 2925-position model. The record is from RNAcentral.